Molecule: ribosomal RNA, 253 nt
Filed under: uncultured bacterium
Lineage: Bacteria
Description: partial 16S ribosomal RNA
Rfam family: Bacterial small subunit ribosomal RNA
Source: RNAcentral
UACAGAGGUCCCGAGCGUUGUUCGGAUUCACUGGGCGUAAAGGGUGCGUAGGCGGCUUUGAAAGUCCGGUGUGAAAUCUCCAGGCCCAACCUGGAAAAGGCACUGGAAACUACAGGGCUGGAGGCUUGGAGGGGGAACUGGAAUUCUCGGUGUAGCAGUGAAAUGCGUAGAGAUCGAGAGGAACACCAGUGGCGAAGGCGAGUUCCUGGACAAGACCUGACGCUGAGGCACGAAAGCCAGGGGAGCAAACAGG